Molecule: ribosomal RNA, 893 nt
Filed under: uncultured bacterium
Lineage: Bacteria
Description: bacterial SSU rRNA
Rfam family: Bacterial small subunit ribosomal RNA
Source: RNAcentral
GUGCCAGCCGCCGCGGUAAUACGUAGGUGGCAAGCGUUGUCCGGAUUUAUUGGGCGUAAAGCGAGCGCAGGCGGUUUCUUAAGUCUGAUGUGAAAGCCUUCGGCUCAACCGAAGAAGUGCAUCGGAAACUGGGAAACUUGAGUGCAGAAGAGGACAGUGGAACUCCAUGUGUAGCGGUGAAAUGCGUAGAUAUAUGGAAGAACACCAGUGGCGAAGGCGGCUGUCUGGUCUGUAACUGACGCUGAGGCUCGAAAGCAUGGGUAGCAAACAGGAUUAGAUACCCUGGUAGUCCAUGCCGUAAACGAUGAGUGCUAGGUGUUGGAGGGUUUCCGCCCUUCAGUGCCGCAGCUAACGCAUUAAGCACUCCGCCUGGGGAGUACGACCGCAAGGUUGAAACUCAACAGGAAUUGACGGGGGCCCGCACAAGCGGUGGAGCAUGUGGUUUAAUUCGAAGCAACGCGAAGAACCUUACCAGGUCUUGACAUCCUUUGACCACUCUAGAGAUAGAGCUUUCCCUUCGGGGACAAAGUGACAGGUGGUGCAUGGUUGUCGUCAGCUCGUGUCGUGAGAUGUUGGGUUAAGUCCCGCAACGAGCGCAACCCUUAUUACUAGUUGCCAGCAUUAAGUUGGGCACUCUAGUGAGACUGCCGGUGACAAACCGGAGGAAGGUGGGGACGACGUCAAAUCAUCAUGCCCCUUAUGACCUGGGCUACACACGUGCUACAAUGGAUGGUACAACGAGUUGCGAGACCGCGAGGUUUAGCUAAUCUCUUAAAACCAUUCUCAGUUCGGAUUGUAGGCUGCAACUCGCCUACAUGAAGCCGGAAUCGCUAGUAAUCGCGGAUCAGCAUGCCGCGGUGAAUACGUUCCCGGGCCUUGUACACACCGCCCGU